GGUCUUUUGUCGUCACGCUGUCUACACGUUUGAGUUUUGCUCUUCGCUUCGAAGUGAGUUUUAUUCGUGCAUACGAAUUCUAGACUUAAAAACAUUUUUAAUUGAUGGAUUUUUGUCAACUGUGAUUGAGGUACAGCAAUCGGCAUUUUGAUUUCCGUCAAACAAUGCAGUGAAUCACGAUUCCUUCCCGGUAUUUCUGGUGUUUGGGAUCUGUUGAUAUUUCGAUCACAGUCCAUCGACGUUGGCGCCAAAAGUUUUUGUUAAGUGUAUUGGACCGUUCCAGCGUAUAGGACUGUCAUAGCUAAGGAAACACUUCCAAGGACUGCGGCUGCUGAAUUUUUAGACAUCAAUGACGAUGGAUCUACGUAGGCCGUUGCUGAUUUUUGCCCUGUAUGUUGUUCUACUCCAACUAGCUGAUGUCAUCGCCGACGACGAAUCAAUCCAACUAGAGAAGGUGACAGUCCUAAGUGGGAAGACCGCCGUACUGCCGUGUGACAUUACACCACCCACGCUCGACUCGCUCUAUCUCGUUCUCUGGUACAAAAACGACUCGGACUUUCCCAUUUACAAGUACGACGCUCGACGUUCCAGAGAAAACUAUCGUCAGCAACAAACUCAGCAUGACAGUCAAAUGUUUUUGUUGCAGCAGCAACAGCAAUACGGCCAACCGCCGUCCAAAAGCAGAAUUCAGUUCCAGUUCGAUAGUCACCCGGCUCUUUUGUUAUUGAAUAAUGUGGUCGAUCCAGAUGAGGGCGUCUAUCGUUGCAGAGUCGAUUUUGGCCGAUCACCAACGCGCAAUGUUCUCGUCCAGCUCACCGUUGUUGUUCCGCCGCAAAAGAUCCGCAUCAUCGAAGACAAUCGACAAGUCUCGUCUGUCAUAGGCCCUUACGAUGAAGGCGAUCAGCUCUCACUGAACUGCAUCGUCACCGGAGGUCGACCACUUCCAGAAGUGACUUGGUGGCUGGGCGAUAAAUUGGUGGAUUACACUUACAUUUCUACGUCAGAAACUGUGGUUCAAAAUAUCCUAGUGAUUCCGAAACUAGAACGACGUCACUUGCACGCUACUCUCCGGUGUCAAGCGUCUAAUUACUUUGGUGUUCGCAACGAUACACCAUCCUAUCCGGUGCAGCCCUAUUGGUACCAGAAACAACACUCAUCUUUCCAUCAUCGUGAACACCAACACGCGAUCGCUUCCAGCGUUCAGCUCGACCUAAAUCUGCGACCUUUGUGGGUCGUGAUCACCGGUGCGGAAAGGCCGCUGUCUGCUGGCAAGUCAUACACGUUCGAGUGUGUCACUGGAGGAUCUCGUCCUUCCGUCAACCUUCGCUGGUACCUUAAUUCCGUUCUGCAACCAGCGCAAGAACGGAUGACGAGCGACGGAAGCAACACAACGAGUACCUUAAAGCUAACUCCAUCGGCCAAAGAUCACGACGCCGAAUUGAUUUGUUCAGCCGUCAAUCCGCUUUUAGACGUCAGCAAUGGCAGUGUCGACACUAACGAGUCAACGUCGUCCGUCCAGACUCGUCGAAAACUCAUCGUCCACUUUGCACCGACGGCGCAACUAGAACUGGGCCGUAGUCUGAAUCCGGAUUCAAUUGCCGAAGGCAAUGACGUUUAUUUCGAAUGUCGCGUUCGAUCUAAUCCGCCUCCUCAUCGCUUCACGUGGACUCACGAGGGGCACAACAUAAAAGAAAACGCGUCGGCUGGAGUCAUCAUGGUAGAACAAAGUCUUGUUAUUCGUCGAGUUUCGCGGUUCCAUUCCGGACGUUAUUCUUGCAGUGCUGUUAACGCAGAAGGCAGCGGGUUCAGCAAUGCAGUACAACUCCGUGUCAUGUUUCAGCCGGUCUGCCGUCCAGGUCAAAAAAUUCUGUACGGAGUUGCUAAACAAGACGCGGUUACCGUGAAGUGCCAGACAGAUGCCAUUCCACCGGCACACUCGCACCGAUGGGCGUUCAACACGUCGAUGUUAGAUGUGACAGAAUUACAGGAAAAUCAAAUAUUGCAAAACAACGGCUUUGCUGAGGGCAGUGUGGAGGCAAAUGGAACCAGCAUUCUUUCCUACUCACCACAAUCCGAUCGCGAUUACGGAAGUCUACUCUGCUGGGGACGUAACGCAGUUGGUGAACAACGAGAGCCUUGCGUCUACCGCAUCUUCCUUGGAGUGCGUCCGGAUCCGCCAAAUAAUUGCUCGGUAUUGAAUCAAACGGCCGAUGCAGUCGAAGUGUGGUGCCGACCGGGAUUUGAUGGCGGUCAUCCACAACUGUUUCAAUUCGAGAUUUUUGAUACACAGUCGGCCGUACUGCUUUACAAUAAAUCCGGAAGGUACCCACACUUGCGCGUUGGCAACUUGGAAUCCGGCGUGAAAUUGUUUAUCCAAAUCUCAUCUUAUAAUCAACGUGGAAGAUCCCCCUUUGUCCAGCUGGAGGCCUACACCAUCAAAAUCGCUGAUAAACAAACAGUGAUCAUGGAGACGGAAGGUUGGGCUUCAAUGCUAGGCAUGGCCAGUGGGAUCCCGGUUUCAAUCGUGAUCGCAUACAUCAUCAUCGCAUUGGUGGCCAGAUUCCGCCGUCGGAACAAUUCCCGUUCUACUCAGGGUGAACGUGUACCCCGUAAAACCCACGAGACCAAAGCUGAUACGACAGUGGCUACCAAUGUUGAUCAACAUCAGCAAAGCACCGAAGAUCCGGAUGUUAUUAUCAAUAGGAAUUCAGCUCACGAGCAGCACUUAAUGCAACAGCAUCAUUGUGAAUCUGGACCAUCCGCCUAUCCUAAAAAGCAAGUGGAAGAUCAGGUGCAACACGACAGUGAACCUAUUCAGUCAAACCUUUUAAAUUGUACUGAUCUGGACAAACCUGUUGCUGUUGUUACGAGCAACCAGUAUUACCGCUCCCUUAAUAGACUAUCACGUGCCGAUCAACCUUGGAUGGCUACUGAUAUGGACACUAUUGUUAUCGUCCAACCUCCUCAUCGACAGAUACAAAUGCCAAUUCAUUUGUUAUAAAUAUCAGCCAUGCGUCAGACAUGCACCUUGAGUUCUAGCGAUUCCAGUCAGUUGAAGAUGUACCGAAGGCAUCAACUGAGUAUUGUUCACUCAAUCUUCCGCUGGAGAAAUAACUGCCGUGAUUGAAAUAAUGUUGGAGAUCAACCUCAUCGUCAAUGGGCAACUGUUUUUUGCGUUUACUCGACAUCCCCUAAUGGCGAGUGCAUGCAUGAUUGAAGGCCGUCAUAUCCCGAGUCCUUGUCAUGGAAGCAAUAGCCAUGAGAUACUUUUCGCAUUCUGGGGCGUGUCAGAAAACGGACUUGUGAUACACUUAUGUCCAUGAAUUUGCCAUAAAGGGUUACCACAAGAACGCACAUGUGUUUCACUGUAAAGAUGCGUCCAUUUCAUCAUUAAGUAUAAACAUGUUGACAGGUUGUUUAACACUGGGCUUUUUUCAGAUAAUUCGCCAGUUUUACUUGAACUUUAUUCAAAUGUGUCGUUAUGAGUUAGAUCCAUAAUUAUUCAUGGUAAUUGCUUUCAACGUGUUUCCAUUUAUGACAAAAAGGAAGCUUUCCAAACCUAACGUUUCCCCCAAGUGAGCAAUCAAAACUGCAUUAAUCCUUCGUACGGUCUGGUUUGCCGAUUUUUAUUGGCUUGUGUAGAACAAAUGUGUUUUUGUUUUGUUUUUUUAUUACAUGGAAAAACCUUGGCUACA
Molecule: unclassified non-coding RNA, 3695 nt
Filed under: Daphnia magna
Lineage: Eukaryota; Metazoa; Arthropoda; Branchiopoda; Diplostraca; Daphniidae
Description: nephrin, transcript variant X3
Source: RNAcentral